RNAcentral lists this ribosomal RNA (474 nucleotides) under Bifidobacterium longum. RNAcentral describes it as "bacterial SSU rRNA". It matches the Rfam family "Bacterial small subunit ribosomal RNA", at positions 45 to 528 of the family's 1533-position model. Lineage: Bacteria; Bacillati; Actinomycetota; Actinomycetes; Bifidobacteriales; Bifidobacteriaceae. The record is from RNAcentral.
UGCUUACACAUGCAAGUCGAACGGGAUCCAUCAGGCUUUGCUUGGUGGUGAGAGUGGCGAACGGGUGAGUAAUGCGUGACCGACCUGCCCCAUACACCGGAAUAGCUCCUGGAAACGGGUGGUAAUGCCGGAUGCUCCAGUUGAUCGCAUGGUCUUCUGGGAAAGCUUUCGCGGUAUGGGAUGGGGUCGCGUCCUAUCAGCUUGACGGCGGGGUAACGGCCCACCGUGGCUUCGACGGGUAGCCGGCCUGAGAGGGCGACCGGCCACAUUGGGACUGAGAUACGGCCCAGACUCCUACGGGAGGCAGCAGUGGGGAAUAUUGCACAAUGGGCGCAAGCCUGAUGCAGCGACGCCGCGUGAGGGAUGGAGGCCUUCGGGUUGUAAACCUCUUUUAUCGGGGAGCAAGCGAGAGUGAGUUUACCCGUUGAAUAAGCACCGGCUAACUACGUGCCAGCAGCCGCGGUAAAAAGACGA